This 1674-nucleotide long non-coding RNA is filed under the name Aplysia californica (California sea hare). RNAcentral describes it as "uncharacterized LOC118478230". Lineage: Eukaryota; Metazoa; Mollusca; Gastropoda; Aplysiida; Aplysiidae. The record is from RNAcentral.
AAGCAGUUGUGAGCACCGUAAAACCUUACAAAAACUCUUAAAAAACAUCAUGUUCCUCUAAAUUUUUCUUUCUUGCUUAUCUAGCAGGAUGUGCCACCCCUCUUAUCGUGCAAUAUCUCACACGGAUGUCUUCUCGUUCAGAUUUAGCUUCCAUGUGUGGUAUUUGAUCUAGUGCAUAUCACCUGAAGUUGCUAGCAUGGUAAAAGAAGGAAAGGAAAUCCUUGCAGCAAUUUGCCGUGAUCACAAAUGCCACAACUUGCAGCAGAUUGAUAGCGGCAUCUUUCCCUUUCCUAAAGUGGUGUGCUGAUCUGCCUGUAUUUACGGUUAGUUGGUUAAACCUUAUCGCGACCUCAGUGCUUUCUUGUCCUAUCUCCAUUUCUAAUAACAGUGAAAACAGUUCAUAACAAAGAGUGAGCUUAAGAAGAAGUCACAUUUUCAAUGUUAAAAAAAUGGAGAUAGGACAAGAAAGCACAGAGGUCGUGUUAUGGCUCUGCCUGUUACCUUCAAGUGUUAUUCCUUUGUCUUAUGUUGUAGUUGCUCUCAUUGAAUCAAAUGUGUUUGCUGGAAUCUUACUGUUUCUAAUGUGUUGGCUGGAAAUCCUUUUUAUUUUUUUUAAAAACAUUAAUUAUGCUAUUCUGUGAGAGUGGAGAGUAUAAAGAUGCUUACAUAUGUUAUGAUAUUAUUCCUAGAGUGUUCACUCAGUGGUGUGUGAGGUGUGUGUGUGAGCAUGUGCUAAUGGAUAUGGCCCAACAUUAGACAUAUAUAUAUAUAUAUAUGUGUGAGGUGUGUGUGUGAGCAUGUGCUAAUGGAUAUGGCCCAACAUUAGACAUAUAUAUAUAUGUGUGAGGUGUGUGUGUGAGCAUGUGCUAAUGGAUAUGGCCCAACAUUAGACAUAUAUAUAUAUAUAUAUGUGUGAGGUGUGUGUGUGAGCAUGUGCUAAUGGAUAUGGCCCAACAUUAGACAUAUAUAUAUAUAUACGUGUGAGGGUUCUUGUACGCGUAUAUUCAGAACUUCACUUUGUUGCACUUAUAUAUUUGUUUGGGGGGGGGGGGGGGGGGGGACUGUUUCAUUUCCUUAUUUACUCCGAAGAUCUCAUUCCUUCAGGGGUGCUCCGUUAGCUCAAUUGAUAUCAUGCUGAACUUCCGAGCAGAUGGUCCAGGGUUCGAAUCCCAGACUGGGCAUUCUUAAAUUCAGGUCAUUUUGUGGAGUUUUGAAGGUUUUUCACCCAUUUGGGUUGGUCCUGUCAGAGACAGACGUUAAACCAGGAGGUCCCGCUCAUUUAAUAACAUUUAUAUAAUAUAAUAGUGUUGACAGGGGCGUUAAAGCUGUACGCUCUACGCUCAUUCCUUGAGAAUGCUGUGAUGUGUGCAGGAGGUCUGUUUGUCCGUCAGUGCAGACGUUUGUGGGGAAUACGGCGAAUGUUCUGUGAAUGUGUGUUGUUGUUGUUGUUGAUCCAGCAUGCCAUGUAGGGAUAUGUACAUGUUUGCUGCAGUUACUGUAAUGUUCCGUAGAGUGUGUUGUCAGUGUUAAGUCUCGGAGGGAGAAUGUCAACAAAAACUUUUGUUUUUUGCCUCGUUGUCGACGGGUAAAUUUUGAAAUGUGAAAAAUCAUCUGCCCUGUAGGAGGGACAUGUUGCAGUUAGUUACUCCCCAAGCUCGGGCAGGGGUAGGAGGA